Molecule: RNA transcript, 749 nt
Organism: Mustela lutreola (European mink)
Lineage: Eukaryota; Metazoa; Chordata; Mammalia; Carnivora; Mustelidae
Gene name: D-dopachrome decarboxylase
Exons: 4
Source: RefSeq, a predicted model, not a curated record
GGCGCCCCGCCCCUGCUGCCUAGUCCUCGACCCUGGGGAACACUGACCCGAACUUUGUGCGUUCUUUCUCUGCUACCCUGCGCCUCCGGUUCUUUCCCGCAGACAUGCCAUUUGUCGAGUUAGACACGAACUUGUCCGCCGGCCGUGUGCCCACGGGAUUGGAGAAGCGGCUCUGCGCGGCCACGGCAGACAUCCUGAGCAAACCUGAGGACCGCGUGAACGUAACGGUGCGACCAGGUCUGGCCAUGGCGGUGAACGGCUCCACCGAGCCCUGCGCUCAACUGCUCAUCUCCUCCAUCGGUGUGGUAGGCACAGCCGAGGACAACCGCGGCCACAGCGCCCGGUUCUUCGAUUUCCUCACCAAGGAGCUGAACCUGGACCAGGAUCGUUUGUAGGUUUCUCUUCUGUGAAUAGAAGGAAAUGUAUUAAAUGGUCACCUAAGAAGCCCGAACAGCCCUCCAACCUGGGAUCCUGUGUCAGAGUUUAAGUUUGUCUCUGGGAUAAUUAUCCGCUUCUUUCCUGUGGAGCCCUGGCAGAUUGGCAAGAAAGGGACAGUCAUGACUUUCCUGUGAUUGGCACAGAGGGCAUCCAAAGCAUGCAUCUGCCAGCUCUCUGCCAGAGAGGCUUCCUGGCAGAGUAAGGGCCUGGUGGAUACCAGCUUCUGGCACUUCUUCAUGCAGAUGUGCCUGUGACCUCACAGUCCUCUUCCCCAUCCUCGUGUCAAAUAAACGAAGAGAACUUCGUCUUUC